Molecule: ribosomal RNA, 492 nt
Filed under: uncultured bacterium
Lineage: Bacteria
Description: partial 16S ribosomal RNA
Rfam family: Bacterial small subunit ribosomal RNA
Source: RNAcentral
AUUGAACGCUGGCGGCAGGCCUAACACAUGCAAGUCGAGCGGUAACAGAUUGAUAGCUUGCUAUCAAUGCUGCCGAGCGGCGGACGGGUGAGUAAUGCCUGGGAAUAUACCCUGAUGUGGGGGAUAACUAUUGGAAACGAUAGCUAAUACCGCAUAAUCUCUUCGGAGCAAAGAGGGGGACCUUCGGGCCUCUCGCGUCAGGAUUAGCCCAGGUGGGAUUAGCUAGUUGGUGGGGUAAUGGCUCACCAAGGCGACGAUCCCUAGCUGGUCUGAGAGGAUGAUCAGCCACACUGGAACUGAGACACGGUCCAGACUCCUACGGGAGGCAGCAGUGGGGAAUAUUGCACAAUGGGGGAAACCCUGAUGCAGCCAUGCCGCGUGUAUGAAGAAGGCCUUCGGGUUGUAAAGUACUUUCAGUUGUGAGGAAGGCGUUGGAGUUAAUAGCUUUAGCGUUUGACGUUAGCAACAGAAGAAGCACCGGCUAACUCCGUG